ACUCCUACGGGAGGCAGCAGUGGGGAAUAUUGCACAAUGGGCGCAAGCCUGAUGCAGCCAUGCCGCGUGUAUGAAGAAGGCCUUCGGGUUGUAAAGUACUUUCAGCAGUGAGGAAGGCGGAGUCGUUAAUAGCGGCCUCGUUUGACGUUAGCUGCAGAAGAAGCACCGGCUAACUCCGUGCCAGCAGCCGCGGUAAUACGGAGGGUGCGAGCGUUAAUCGGAAUUACUGGGCGUAAAGCGCAUGCAGGCGGCCUGUUAAGUCAGAUGUGAAAGCCCGGGGCUUAACCUCGGAAUUGCAUUUGAAACUGGCAGGCUAGAGUCUUGUAGAGGGGGGUAGAAUUUCAGGUGUAGCGGUGAAAUGCGUAGAGAUCUGAAGGAAUACCAGUGGCGAAGGCGGCCCCCUGGACAAAGACUGACGCUCAGAUGCGAAAGCGUGGGGAGCAAACAGGAUUAGAUA
RNAcentral lists this ribosomal RNA (457 nucleotides) under uncultured bacterium. Its description in RNAcentral is "bacterial SSU rRNA". It matches the Rfam family "Bacterial small subunit ribosomal RNA", at positions 335 to 784 of the family's 1533-position model. The record is from RNAcentral.